CUACGGGGGGAGCAAGCGUUGUCCGGAAUCAUUGGGCGUAAAGGGCACGUAGGCGGUUUCUUAAGUCGAAUGUGAAAUCUCACGGCUCAACCGUGAAACUGCGUUCGAAACUAAGUGACUAGAGUUUGGGAGAGGUGUACGGAAUUCCUGGUGUAGCGGUGGAAUGCGUAGAUAUCAGGAAGAACACCAAUGGCGAAGGCAGUACACUGGCCUGAAACUGACGCUGAGGUGCGAAAGCGUGGGGAGCAAACAGGAUUAGAAACCCCGGUAGUCC
RNAcentral lists this ribosomal RNA (274 nucleotides) under uncultured bacterium. RNAcentral describes it as "partial 16S ribosomal RNA". It matches the Rfam family "Bacterial small subunit ribosomal RNA", at positions 523 to 796 of the family's 1533-position model. The record is from RNAcentral.